This is a non-coding RNA of Acanthosepion pharaonis, 114 nucleotides long. NCBI's taxonomy places the organism in Eukaryota, Metazoa, Mollusca, Cephalopoda, Sepiida, Sepiidae. The record is from the annotation of a GenBank genome assembly.
UUACGGCGAUAUCGCGUUAAAACAACGGUUCUCAACGGAUCAUUGAAGUUAAGCAACGUCGAGACUGGUCAGUACCUAGAUGGGGGACCACUUGGGAAUAUCAGGUGCUGUAAG